CGAAUGGUGUAACCAUGGCCACGCUGUCUCCACCCGAGACUCAGUGAAAUCGAAAUCGCAGUGAAGAUGCUGUGUACCCGCGGCUAGACGGAAAGACCCCGUGAACCUUUACUAUAGCUUCACAGUGGACUUUGAGCCUGCUUGUGUAGGAUAGCUGGGAGACAUUGAAGCGGUGACGCCAGUCAUCGUGGAGUCGUCCUUGAAAUACCAGCCUGGCAUGUUCGAGGUUCUAACCCAGGCCCGUUAUCCGGGUCGGGGACAUUGUGUGGUGGGUAGUUUGACUGGGGCGGUCUCCUCCCAAAUAGUAACGGAGGAGCACGAAGGUUAGCUAAUCACGGUCGGACAUCGUGAGGUUAGUGCAAUGGCAUAAGCUAGCUUAACUGCGAGACAGACACGUCGAGCAGGUACGAAAGUAGGUCUAAGUGAUCCGGUGGUU
Molecule: ribosomal RNA, 436 nt
Filed under: uncultured Isochrysis
Lineage: Eukaryota; Haptophyta; Isochrysidales
Description: partial Bacterial large subunit ribosomal RNA
Rfam family: Bacterial large subunit ribosomal RNA
Source: RNAcentral